RNAcentral lists this ribosomal RNA (1397 nucleotides) under uncultured Enterobacter sp. RNAcentral describes it as "partial 16S ribosomal RNA". It matches the Rfam family "Bacterial small subunit ribosomal RNA", at positions 79 to 1426 of the family's 1533-position model. The record is from RNAcentral. Lineage: Bacteria; Pseudomonadati; Pseudomonadota; Gammaproteobacteria; Enterobacterales; Enterobacteriaceae.
GGUGGGGUACGGCGGUGGGCGGCGACGGUGGAGAAAAACGUCUGGGAAACCUGGCCUUGAUGAAGGGGAAUAACUACUGAAAACGGUAGUUAAAACCGAAAAACGUUUGAAGACCAAGGAGGGAAACCUUCGGGCCUCUUGCCAUCGCAUGUACCCAUAUGCCCUUAGCUAAUAAGUGAGGUAACGGCUCACCUAGUCAACGAUCCCUAGAUGGUCAGACAGGAUGACCGGCCACUCUGGAACUGAGACACUGACCAAACUCCUACACUAGGACGCAGGGGAGAAUAUUGCUCAAUGCCCGAAUGCCUGAUGCACCCAUGCCGCGUGUAUGAAGAAGGCCUUCGGGUUGUAAAGUACUUUCACUGUGGAGGAAGGGAAUAAGGUUAAUAACCUUGUUAAUUGACGUCCCCCGCAGAACAAACCCCGAAAAACUCCGUGACAUACGCCGCGGAAAUACGGAGGGUGCAAGCGUUAAUCGGAAUUACUGGAAUUAUUGCGCACGCAGGGGGCCUGGCAAGUUUCUUGAGAAAUCCCCGAACUCCCCCUGGUAACUGCAUUCGAAACUGGGAGGCUAGAGUCUUGUAGAGGGCAGAUAGAAUUCCAGGUGUACCGUGUAAAUGCGUAAAGAUGCUGAAGAGAUUACCGGGGACGAAGGUGGCCCCCUGGACUAACACUGACUGCUCAGUGAGCGAGAGCGUGGGAGAGCAAGGAGGAUUAGAUACCCUGAGAUACCCACGCCGUACACGAUGUCGACUUGGGAGUGUGUGCCCUUGAGAGCGUGUUCUUGCCGUAUUAUAACGCGUUAUGUCGACUGACUGGACUAGUACGGCCGCAGUGGGUACGACUCGUAUGAAUCUGACGGGGAAUCUCGACGCGAGCGGCGGGACGACAUGGUGGUUUACAUUCGAUGCUAACGCGAAGACCCUCACCAUACUCUUGACCAUGCACUAGACUUCCUCAGGAGCAUGCUUAGGUGUCCUUCCGUGCAUCUCUCAGACAGGAGGCUGACAUGCUGUCGAUCAGCUCGCCGUCGGCUACAUGCUGGGAUUAUGUCCGCUAACGGAGCCGCCAACCGUAUCAUUCGUUGCUCGUGAGUAGCCUCCGAUAUCUUCAAGGCAUUCUCUGGCCAAACUGGAGGAAGGUGGGGAUGACGUCAAGUCAUCAUGGCCCUUACGAGUAGGGCUACACACGUGUUCCAAUGGCGCAUACAAAGAGAAGCGACCUCGCGAGAGCAAGCGGACCUCAUAAAGUGCUUCGUAGUCCGGAUUGGAGUCUGCAACUCGACUCCAUGAAGUCGGAAUCGUUAGUAAUCGUGGAUCAGAAUGCCCCGGUGAAUACGUUCCCGGGCCUUGUCACCACACCGCCCUCUCCACCCCCUAUGGGAGAGUUGGUUGGAU